This 38-nucleotide transfer RNA is filed under the name Mammut americanum (American mastodon). Its description in RNAcentral is "partial tRNA-Asp". Lineage: Eukaryota; Metazoa; Chordata; Mammalia; Proboscidea; Mammutidae. The record is from RNAcentral.
UUAAAGCUAAGCUACAGGUUUAAAUCCCGUAAAUUUCU